This 368-nucleotide ribosomal RNA is filed under the name uncultured organism. RNAcentral's name for it is "bacterial SSU rRNA". It matches the Rfam family "Bacterial small subunit ribosomal RNA", at positions 526 to 896 of the family's 1533-position model. The record is from RNAcentral.
CGUAGGUGGCAAGCGUUGUCCGGAUUUAUUGGGUUUAAAGGGUGCGUAGGCGGCCCCGUAAGUCAGUGGUGAAAUACGGCAGCUCAACUGUCGAGGUGCCAUUGAUACUGCGGGGCUUGAGUGUUGAUGAGGUAGGCGGAAUUGACGGUGUAGCGGUGAAAUGCUUAGAUAUCGUCAAGAACACCGAUAGCGAAGGCAGCUUACCAAGCAAUAACUGACGCUGAGGCACGAAAGUGCGGGGAUCAAACAGGAUUAGAUACCCUGGUAGUCCGCACAGUAAACGAUGAUUACUCGAUGUUGGCGAUACACAGCCAGCGUCUUAGCGAAAGCGAUAAGUAAUCCACCUGGGGAGUACGCCCGCAAGGGUG